CCUACGGGGGGCAGCAGUCGAGAAUCAUUCACAAUGGGGGAAACCCUGAUGGUGCGACGCCGCGUGGGGGAAUGAAGGUCUUCGGAUUGUAAACCCCUGUCAUGUGGGAGCAAAUUAAAAAGAUAGUACCACAAGAGGAAGAGACGGCUAACUCUGUGCCAGCAGCCGCGGUAAUACAGAGGUCUCAAGCGUUGUGCGGAAUCACUGGGCGUAAAGCGUGUGUAGGCUGUUUCGUAAGUCGGGUGUGAAAGGCGCGGGCUCAACCCGCGGACGGCACAUGAUACUGUGGGACUAGAGUAAUGGAGGGGGAACCGGAAUUCUCGGUGUAGCAGUGAAAUGCGUAGAUAUCGAGAGGAACACUCGUGGCGAAGGCGGGUUGCUGGACAUUAACUGACGCUGAGGCACGAAGGCCAGGGGAGCGAAAGGGAUUAGAUACCCGAGUAGUC
This 446-nucleotide ribosomal RNA is filed under the name uncultured bacterium. RNAcentral describes it as "partial 16S ribosomal RNA". It matches the Rfam family "Bacterial small subunit ribosomal RNA", at positions 338 to 795 of the family's 1533-position model. The record is from RNAcentral.